UACGUAGGGGGCAAGCGUUGUCCGGAUUUAUUGGGCGUAAAGAGCGUGUAGGCGGCCACACAGGUCAGCUGUGAAAACUCGAGGCUCAACCUCGAGACGUCGGUUGAAACCGUAUGGCUAGAGUCCGGAAGAGGAGAGUGGAAUUCCCGGUGUAGCGGUGAAAUGCGCAGAUAUCGGGAAGAACACCAGUGGCGAAGGCGGCUCUCUGGGACGGUACUGACGCUGAGACGCGAAAGCGUGGGGAGCGAACAGG
Molecule: ribosomal RNA, 253 nt
Filed under: uncultured bacterium
Lineage: Bacteria
Description: partial 16S ribosomal RNA
Rfam family: Bacterial small subunit ribosomal RNA
Source: RNAcentral